GGGGAAUAUUGGGCAAUGGGCGCAAGCCUGACCCAGCAACGCCGCGUGAGGGAAGAAGGUCUUCGGAUUGUAAACCUCUGUCCUUGGUGAAAAGUAAGAGAUGGUAGCCAAGGAGGAAGCUCCGGCUAACUACGUGCCAGCAGCCGCGGUAAUACGUAGGGAGCGAGCGUUGUCCGGAAUGAUUGGGCGUAAAGGGCGUGUAGGCGGCCGUUUAAGUCUGGAGUGAAAUUCCUGUUUUUAAGGUAGGAACUGCUUUGGAAACUGGACGGCUUGAGUGCAGGAGAGGUUAUCGGAAUUCCCGGUGUAGCGGUGAAAUGCGUAGAGAUCGGGAGGAACACCAGUGGCGAAGGCGGGUAACUGGACUGCAACUGACGCUGAGGCGCGAAAGUGUGGGGAGCAAAC
RNAcentral lists this ribosomal RNA (402 nucleotides) under uncultured bacterium. RNAcentral describes it as "bacterial SSU rRNA". It matches the Rfam family "Bacterial small subunit ribosomal RNA", at positions 356 to 773 of the family's 1533-position model. The record is from RNAcentral.